CUACGGGCCGCAGCAGUCAUGAAUCUUCCCCAAUGCACGAAAGUGUGAGGGAGCGACGCCGCGUGAGUGAAGAAGCUCUUCGGAGUGUAAAACUCUUUUAACUGGGAAAAAUUAGCGAUGGUACCAGAAGAAUAAGGGGCUGCUAACCUCGUGCCAGCAGCAGCGGUAAUACGAGGGCCCCGAGCGUUAUCCGGAUUUAUUGGGCGUAAAGAGCUAAAAGGUGGUUUGAUAAGUCUUUAGUAAAAGCUGGAAGCUCAACUUCCAGACUGCUAAAGAAACUAUUAAACUAGAGGAUGGAAGAGGUAGAUGGAAUUGCCGGUGUAGUAGUGAAAUGCGUUAAUAUCGGCAGGAACACCAAAAGCGAAAGCAGUCUACUGGAACAUUCCUGACACUAAAUAGCGAAAGCGUGGGGAGCGAAUGGGAUUAGAUACCCCUGUAGUC
RNAcentral lists this ribosomal RNA (441 nucleotides) under uncultured bacterium. RNAcentral's name for it is "partial 16S ribosomal RNA". It matches the Rfam family "Bacterial small subunit ribosomal RNA", at positions 339 to 795 of the family's 1533-position model. The record is from RNAcentral.